ACGCAAUACGUUACCGUGCGCUUGCCGCACAC
RNAcentral lists this small RNA (32 nucleotides) under Bombyx mori (domestic silkworm). RNAcentral's name for it is "ovarian small RNA-11460". The record is from RNAcentral. Lineage: Eukaryota; Metazoa; Arthropoda; Insecta; Lepidoptera; Bombycidae.